UGGGGAAUAUUGCACAAUGGGCGAAAGCCUGAUGCAGCAACGCCGCGUGCUGGAUGACGGCCUUCGGGUUGUAAACCGCUUUCAGCAGGGACGAAGGUUUUCUGACGGUACCUGCAGAAGAAGCACCGGCUAACUACGUGCCAGCAGCCGCGGUGAUACGUAGGGUGCGAGCGUUGUCCGGAAUUAUUGGGCGUAAAGAGCUUGUAGGCGGUCCGUUGCGUCGGAAGUGAAAACUCAGGGCUUAACCCUGAGCCUGCUUUCGAUACGGGCGGACUUGAGGGAUGUAGGGGAGAACGGAAUUCCUGGUGGAGCGGUGGAAUGCGCAGAUAUCAGGAGGAACACCAGUGGCGAAGGCGGUUCUCUGGACAUUUCCUGACGCUGAGAAGCGAAAGCGUGGGGAGCAAACAGGCUUAGAUACCCUGGUAGUCCACGCCGUAAACGGUGGGCACUAGGUGUGGGACCCAUUCCACGGGUUCCGUGCCGUAGCUAACGCAUUAAGUG
RNAcentral lists this ribosomal RNA (501 nucleotides) under uncultured bacterium. Its description in RNAcentral is "partial 16S ribosomal RNA". It matches the Rfam family "Bacterial small subunit ribosomal RNA", at positions 355 to 866 of the family's 1533-position model. The record is from RNAcentral.